ACUUUCCUUGUCAUGAGGACUGUUUAAUGAACACAUAAUGAAAACAGGCCAGCUGACACCAUAUCAACACAAUCACAUCACCUGAUUUCUUCAAGUCGGCAAACGGUGCAUAUUAUGAAAAC
Molecule: non-coding RNA, 122 nt
Filed under: Danio rerio (zebrafish)
Lineage: Eukaryota; Metazoa; Chordata; Actinopteri; Cypriniformes; Danionidae
Source: RNAcentral